ACGUGAGCAAUCUGCCCCUGACUCUGGGAUAAGCGCUGGAAACGGCGUCUAAUACUGGAUAUGAACCGUGGAGGCAUCUUCAACGGUUGGAAAGAUUUUUUGGUCAGGGAUGAGCUCGCGGCCUAUCAGCUUGUUGGUAAGGUAAUGGCUCACCAAGGCGUCGACGGGUAGCCGGCCUGAGAGGGUGACCGGCCACACUGGGACUGAGACACGGCCCAGACUCCUACGGGAGGCAGCAGUGGGGAAUAUUGCACAAUGGGCGCAAGCCUGAUGCAGCAACGCCGCGUGAGGGAUGACGGCCUUCGGGUUGUAAACCUCUUUUAGCAGGGAAGAAGCGAAAGUGACGGUACCAGCAGAAAAAGCGCCGGCUAACUACGUGCCAGCAGCCGCGGUAAUACGUAGGGCGCAAGCGUUAUCCGGAAUUAUUGGGCGUAAAGAGCUCGUAGGCGGUUUGUCGCGUCUGCUGUGAAAUCCCGAGGCUCAACCUCGGGUCUGCAGUGGGUACGGGCAGACUAGAGUGCGGUAGGGGAGAUUGGAAUUCCUGGUGUAGCGGUGGAAUGCGCAGAUAUCAGGAGGAACACCGAUGGCGAAGGCAGAUCUCUGGGCCGUAACUGACGCUGAGGAGCGAAAGGGUGGGGAGCAAACAGGCUUAGAUACCCUGGUAGUCCACCCCGUAAACGUUGGGAACUAGUUGUGGGGUCCAUUCCACGGAUUCCGUGACGCAGCUAACGCUUUAAGUUCCCCGCCUGGGGAGUACGGCCGCAAGGCUAAAACUCAAAGGAAUUGACGGGGACCCGCA
RNAcentral lists this ribosomal RNA (799 nucleotides) under uncultured bacterium. RNAcentral's name for it is "bacterial SSU rRNA". It matches the Rfam family "Bacterial small subunit ribosomal RNA", at positions 115 to 925 of the family's 1533-position model. The record is from RNAcentral.